UCGACGAAUCGUAGCGGUUUGGGUGUAUUGGACAACCCUCAUGCGUUAUUCGCAUUACCUCGCAUUUGUCGAGAUUGAAGAGCCGACUUCAUUUCUCAGUCCAUGCUGCUAGCUGGUCGGUGUCGGACUGUAGCUCCUGCGUUUCUUUUUUUAUGUUUGAAAGUCCUCGAUGUAUCUUUGUGUCGUUGGUGAGCAACUUCAUCUUGGACGAGAUGUUUGAGUUUAUAUUAUAAAAAUAUAUUAAAAAAAAGAAAAGGACCCAGGAUUGUGCCAUAGACAACAUCAGAUUACACAAGAAACCAUGAAGAAUAAGUGCCACGCACCACGACGCGUUUCAGGCGGUUAGUUACGAAAUUUCUGAACUAAAACAGAAGGGGUCCAUCAAUCUCAUACCACUUUAGCUUAAGCAGUAAUCGUUCGUAGUGUAGAGAAUCGAAUGCUUCGAAAAAAAAAAUCUGUUGGUUUCGAUCUGUUUCUGAAUGUCGCUCAGUCGUUAAAUCAAGAUAGUAAUUGCGUUUAAGUGGACUUCGUUUCAAGAAAUCCAAAUUGCACACAAUCAAGGUAAGCGAGAUCUGCCGAAAUUUCCGGGGCUCUCUGCAGUCUUUUUUACCCUUCUUGUGGACGGGGACAAUAUCGGCUAUUUUACACGCCAACGGCACCUGACUAGUAUCGAAGGGGCUGAUGAGCGAAGAGAGGUCGCUCACUCGACGGCGCAUCCUUCAGCACGCGCGGUGAAAGAAUCAGGCCCGUGGGACUUGUGCGAGUUUAGUUUCGUAAGAAGGUAGUUAAUUUCGUUUACAUUACAUUGGAUAGUUGACAGUUUGAGAUCCACGACGUUGCAUUAUCCUCAGAUGUAAAGACGGACGAAUAAUUAGAAUUCAUGUUUUCGGUGAUUAGCUUUUUUAUCCUUUACUCGCAGAUGAGAUGUAAUUCCUAAACGCUUUCGGGUUUCCAGAUAUCUUUAGAUCGGCAGAGAUCGUAUUGAUGAAUAUGCAAAGCAAGUUGAGAGCUGUGUUAUUUCGUAGUAACAAACCUUGCUUUUCGCCAAAAGUGCUUUAACCCUCAAAACGCACUUGAUCUUGUGAACCCAUCACAGGCUGACAAUCAGAUCUUCUUUUAAUGGUGCGAGAACUCCAUGGGGUGGGGGUUGAAUUUUACCCUCAAUUAAGCAAUGAAUUAGUUUCGGUCUCUGAGUGUUGACGGAUUACAUAAUUAACGAAAUUAUUGAGUGAUAUAAUUCCACCUUAUUAUAUUUUUCAAUCAAUGAUCAUCAUAUGUUAUCACUAAUUUAAGCGGUUCUUAAAGACUUUCCAAUUUUCAUUUUAAAUCGUAGCGCCAAAGAGAUCCUUAUCGGCAGCGGCCGCCACAGGAAUAGGAUUGGGUUGUGUGGUCUUUCUUCUACUCGUCUUCACAGCAGUAUAUUGUCUUUUCAUUGUUAAAAAGAACAGGAGAAGUACAUCUCCGAGUGAUGAAGGCAAUGAAAUGGAAAAAUGCACAAAGGAAAAUAACAAAGUAUCUGCACCUGAAGCCUGAGCAUGAUUUGAACUUGUCUACUUCCUGCCAGUCCGGAUCUUAAACCAGUUUAUAUUUAUUUGGAUUUUUUUGUUUUAUAUUGUGUGUAUUAAGGCACUUAAAAGUCUCAUUCGGGGAGUGGUCUAAUCAUUUUUUUUCCUCAACGACCGCCCAAGUUUUGCAGAGAUUUAGGAGAAUUGGCCCGAGGAAUAGAAUAGAGAAGAUCGUGUCUAUCUGCCCGUAGUUAGACUCUACCCAAACCCUUGACAAAGAGUGUGGAAACAAAGGAAACCCUAUUCACAUAUAACUAAAACUAAUUAGAGCAAUUUUCAAUUCAGUGUCGAAAGUAAUUCGAGAUUUUAUCUAUUAUGCUUCACUUUGGGCUGUGAUUCUGAGUCCGGAAAAGUCGCACUACACUCUCCACCAAUCAGCUGAAAAACUUAAACCAAUCACAAUUCGGUCGUCCGCGUUUUCCCGCGCUUUCCGUAGUUUUGUCGGUGUUACUAUGAGUUCUUGUUGGUGGUUAAAGGUAUUUUCCUUUAGUAAGGACUCAGUCAUCAAAGAGUAUAGUAUUUGUUGUUGUCGGUAGUGACCGAAUGUUUGUUAAGUCAUACUGAGACAGCUAUUGUGAUGUACUUGAAAGACUGUGCAUUUCGAGGAAUUUUGGACGCAACAGGCAGUUUGUGUCGGUGUGUGCUAAGCUGUGGUCUGUGGAGGGCAUAAUUAAGUUUUAGAGGGUGAUCAUUGUUAGUAUUCCCUACACGAAUCGCUCCUUAGUAAAAAAAAGUGUCAGUGGGAAGUUAAAAAGAACGCUGGCAUCGCGAGAGAGAGCAGACAGGCAUGGUUUUCUCGAGUGUGCCUGACUGCGCAGGCUCGCUGUAACGGAGUAAAGUAAAACGAUUUGCAUUAGUCCUUCUUGGAAUAAAAGCAGUACCCACACAUCGUAAAA
Molecule: long non-coding RNA, 2461 nt
Organism: Pocillopora damicornis (cauliflower coral)
Lineage: Eukaryota; Metazoa; Cnidaria; Anthozoa; Scleractinia; Pocilloporidae
Source: RefSeq, a predicted model, not a curated record